RNAcentral lists this transfer RNA (73 nucleotides) under Streptococcus pantholopis. It matches the Rfam family "tRNA". Rfam says of the family: Transfer RNA (tRNA) molecules are approximately 80 nucleotides in length. The record is from Rfam by way of RNAcentral. RNAcentral also lists the same sequence under 2 other names. Lineage: Bacteria; Bacillati; Bacillota; Bacilli; Lactobacillales; Streptococcaceae.
GCCGACUUAGCUCAGCUGGCAGAGCAACGCACUCGUAACGCGUAGGUCGCAGGUUCGACCCCUGCAGUCGGCA